GUCGGCCCAGCCGCCGCCCAAGGCGGUGCCCAGGGUGCCCAAGGGCAGCAACCUGGUGGUGAUCAAGCCGCAGUUGGGGAGGCGCAACAGCCAGUUCACCUGCACCGACACCAAGAAGAAGCGCCCCGGCUGCCAGGCCACCUGCCCCAACCGCUGCCCCAAGGAGUGCCUCGUCAUGUGCCCGUCCUGCAUGACCUUCUGCCGUACGUGCUUCAUCACAUCACCCUCGCUUCAAUCCUCCUUCAUGUUUAAUUAAGGUGCGACGACUAAGUCUCAGUCGAACCAACACUUAACCAAGAAUCCGGUACGUUGGAAGAUCUAUAUCGGCAAAUUUAAGUCAAUCCGGUACGUCAGAUCUAUAUCGAAUGGCUGAUAGAGUGGACUAAGUUACAGUAAGGCUUGGCUUCAUCGAGUCACUGAAGCUGCGUCCAACUAGGUUUCACUCGAACCAGACUUAACCAAGAAAUGACAUAGUGUUUGAAAAAUGAAUUAUUAUCUUUUACACUCAACCUUGAAGUAAGAUCUCAUGAAUAUAGCAUCGGCCGAGACAUAAUUAAGUUUGAGUUGGCUGAGAUUUUAUCUAGGAGUAUAUAUGUAAGAUCUUCUUGCAUGGUGUACAUUUUGCAGUGUGUGACUUCUACCCAGGAGCGUCGUGCGGCGACCCGCGCUUCACCGGCGGCGACGGCAACAACUUCUACUUCCACGGCAAGAAGGGCGAGGACUUCUGCAUCCUCUCCGAC
RNAcentral lists this long non-coding RNA (740 nucleotides) under Hordeum vulgare. Its description in RNAcentral is "long non-coding RNA (HVUL_LNC000060)". Lineage: Eukaryota; Viridiplantae; Streptophyta; Magnoliopsida; Poales; Poaceae. The record is from RNAcentral.